GAAGGUGCGCCUGUUAAGAAAUUGCAGCUAUUCAACACAACAUAUUCUUUCAUGGAUGGCAUGCAGAUUUUACUCUAGUAGAAAUAGGUACGGGCUGAAUCCGCCGCUCGUGACUUCGCCGAUGUUGUUGCCUCCUUCAUCUUGAAUCUCACUAUGGCUUCUAGGAGGUGGACCGGAAGAAAACAACCCGACACGCCGAAUCUUAGGACCUUCUUCAAGUUGUUUCAGUAUGAAUUCAGCUCCAAGAAAACCACCUUCUGCUCUCCUUCUCUUCCCUAUGGCC
This is a non-coding RNA of Lupinus albus (white lupine), 283 nucleotides long. Lineage: Eukaryota; Viridiplantae; Streptophyta; Magnoliopsida; Fabales; Fabaceae. The record is from the annotation of a GenBank genome assembly.